UUUUUGUAAUUCCUCCUAUUGGUAUGUCACACCGUGUCUACUGAGAUCUAAGCACCUGCGUUAGUAGUCUAAUGGCUCGACUUUUGGUAAGAGCCAUUAGUCGCCUAGCAGAAUACCACUUUUAACGUGAGUGUAUAACGUGUCUUGUUAUUACAUAAUAUCUUUAAGUCUUAGAUAAUUUCUAUUUAGGUAGCACAAAGGUGUCUCCGUUGAUAUUAAACUUCGUAAGUUGUUUAAUUAGUGGACAUAAUUAAAAAUAACUCAUGUAUUCAACAUAAGAUGUGCGAGUGUACAUGUGUAUGGAUGUUUUAUUCAGGUUUAUAAAACGUAAUUACAUAUAUAUUUUGAAACAACGCAUCAAUUUUACGGCCAACAUCUUCUGCGCCCAGAAAUUUGAUCUUAACCCACGCUUUACUUCUAACUUUGACGAUUCCUGUGUCCAACAUGUAUACGUAUCGACUCAUGGUCUUCAAAUCGCCUCACUUCUCUCUAUUAAAAAAACACAUUAUCCAUUAGGACCCCUUCUCUCAUCUCCGAGUUGUGCCCAAUGUCACAUUUAGAUCUAGAGAGUUGCGGAGAGGGGCCGGCAUGGAGAUUGACGGAGCAGCAGCCGCAGUGGGACCAUGGAUUAGCUUCUUGUGGAUGCAGAAUCCGUACCGCUGGAGGCUUGGUCGUGGAGGCUCCUCCCAGGAACUCUACCUCCGGCGGCGGCGCCCACUGGGAUUUAUCAGCUCACCCGGCUUCCACCUUCCUCGCCUUACAGCCAGCGCUGCCGAUGCCCCUGCCCCAGCCGUGGGACGCAGACGGAGGAUCAUGCUCCUGCUGCUGAUGCGGAUGCUGCUCUCGUCGACCUCGCACAGGGUGGCAAAUCCGCCGUGCACGCUGCCCAGCUCGAUGCUGAAGCUAUGGGUUCGGCUCCCCCUUCGACCUUGCCACGGACCGACGGACGGCGUCCACGCUGUGCCCGCCGCUCAUGUUGUGGACGCCCUUGAUGAUUAUGGCGCCGACGCGGGCGCCCGACUAUGCUCAGGUUCUUGCCGACCGCCUCGCAACUUGGAUGUGAACAUCGAGUUCACUUUCACCGAUGAAAUCCAAAACAAAAUGCCCUUGCAAGUACAAUUGUAAAAAUGUUUUGGGACUUUCUACGACCUGUGCAUAGCCCCGCCAUCAGCCAAGCCCACAGUCCCUUUCUGCUUUGGUCCCCUCCACCACAACGACCAUGUUACAGGUCAGGUUCCUCUGUCUAACCUACUUAGGCAAAAAUGUAAAUACGUACCUAUAGUUCAAAUCCUGCAAGUUGCAUCCCCUGAUGCUGCGCAACGCUCCAACAACGCAGUUGUGUUCCUCUUGCUCUUCUAUACUUCUGUAUUUAUUAAGAAAGACAACAACAUAAGGGAGCAUUGAGAUGAAGGUUAAUUUGUUUGUUGCAGCAAAGGACAGAUCGAUGUACUACAUGAUUUUUACUCCACCUAUAUACAAUUAUAUGCACUUAAGUAGUCACUCAAUCAGGAAACGCUAAACUGAAAAUAAGCAAUAAAUUUCAGUCCUUAUUUGUCACUAUUAGAAUUAAUAUUUAGCAACAACAGCAAACAAAAUCAGCACUGAUCUCCUAGAGCACUGCUUAAAAUCAGAUGAACAAAUCUCGGUAGUGCAAAAUUGUUAUGAAACGAUUUAUAGAAUGCACGUUCGUUGUACAUAUACACACAAUUAGAAAGAUUUAAGCUAAAGUGCUGUCAGCAAUUCAAUGGAAUCCACAUCUGCAAAAUUUGCGCUGAGCUUUUCUUAAGAUGUCGUUGCUCUUUUCAGUUUCAUCAAUAAUAUCUGAUACACCAAUGGAAAAAUGUAGCCAUGUAGAUCCCCAAAUAUAUGUAAUUAGUUUGAAAAUCGUACAAAAUUCUAACCGUACAUAGAGUAAAGAUGAUAUACUCUAAGAUCUCUUGCACUGAAGGAUCUCCUUGUACACUUGCCAAAUUAUUUCAUUGUGAUUCUUCGGCUGUGAUUAGAACUUUAAGUCCAUCUGUAAUACACCAACAUUUAAAUGUAGCCUUGUAGAUCUAUAUAUAUAUAUAUAUAUAUUAUAUAUAUAUAUAUAGGCACGCUAAACUAAGCCUAAGCGCAUAUUGCUUAUUCUGCGCUCCGGCCACACCGCUUGGACUGUGCCUCGCUAAACAAGCCAGCGUGCAACUGCUCAGUUCUUUUGGCUUCCACUUGAUCGUAAUCAUGAGUAAAACAUAGUAACCGCUUUACUACAACCACACUUCUAAUUUGGUGGGAACCGAUGGUAAUAUUACGAUGAUGCAUGGUAAUCCAAUGUGCUAGCUCUAGUAAUUCAUUCAUUUAUAGUUCAUCCACGGUGCGCUCACUUGUGAGUGUAUGGUAACUUCAAGUGGUAAUUCUAGUAAUGAGAAAACUACUAUUCAAUCCUAGGAUCAAUUACCACACCGUAAUACAAUUACCACCUAGAGGUUGGUAGCAAUCGGCUCAUAACAAAGCAGUCGACUUAGCUAAUUAGCAACACAAAAGCUAGUGAGGUAAUCCUUUUACUAUAUUUUUGCAAAUAGUUAUGAGCAUCUAGACUAAAGGGAAAAUGGCCAACUAAAUCCACCUGUGCACGUCUCCUCUUUGUAGUGGUUGGUGGUAAAAGAAUCCAUUGGUUUUACUACUGAAGAUGGAGACUUCAGACAAUUUUAGCAAUUUUACCAUGCUUAAUAGGAUGGCCUUGCGAGGCGGAGAAGUUGUCCAUGGAAUCUAGUAACUGAUUAAAUUGCAUUACUUUUUUUUUGCAUGUGGUUUUACCAUCAUUAGUGAUGCUUUAUUAGCGGAGCGGCAGGCGCUGUGGGCAUAGCGGCCGGAGCGCACGAUUAGGCUUCUGCGCGUUCGCACAUAAUAGCGCUACCGUGUAUACACACACACACACACACACACACACACACACACACACACACACACAUCUGGGCUAUUCUGUUACGCGUAACAGAAUAUUAUUCUGUUACCCUUCUUGAACUGACGUGGUUUACAGGUUGGACUGACGUGGUUUUCUACUUAAACUGAUCUUCCUACGUGUACGACGGGCGGAAACAGGGGAUGCAACGUGAAGCUUCCGGGCGUUCUCCGGCGCGAUGCUGCGGGCUAUUCGUUGCUAGAUGAGACAUGUAAGGGGUUCCGCACGUGCGCGCGCUCACCUGGUCGUGUUUUGCGAUCUGUAGUCAUCGGAGGUGACGGCGUGGGCAUUUGGCGGCGGACGUGUUUUGGGCGUUGGUGUUGACGGUGGUGUCCGUAGGCCUCAAUUUACGUCCUGUUUGUUGUUUUGGAUGUGAGAAUUAUUAGUAUGUUAGAGUUUUUGGAUAUUAAUUUCAUUUGUAAUUUCUGAUUACAAGUUUUGGUGUUCUUGGUCAUUUUCCACGCCCGCCAUGUAAAUGUGUUCUUCUUUUUCUGUUGUUUUACUUUCAAAUUGGUGUUGCAGGGAGAGAUAUGAGGAUUGUAUGAAAAGAUUUGCGUUGUCAA
This is a long non-coding RNA of Aegilops tauschii subsp. strangulata, 3504 nucleotides long. RefSeq lists it as uncharacterized. The record is from RefSeq and is a predicted model, not a curated record. Lineage: Eukaryota; Viridiplantae; Streptophyta; Magnoliopsida; Poales; Poaceae.